Molecule: ribosomal RNA, 377 nt
Filed under: uncultured bacterium
Lineage: Bacteria
Description: bacterial SSU rRNA
Rfam family: Bacterial small subunit ribosomal RNA
Source: RNAcentral
UAAUACGGAGGGUGCGAGCGUUAAUCGGAAUUACUGGGCGUAAAGCGCGCGUAGGUGGUUGAAUAAGUCGAUUGUGAAAUCCCCGGGCUUAACCUGGGAAUUGCAUUCGAUACUGUUCAGCUAGAGUGUGGUAGAGGGAAGCGGAAUUCCGGGUGUAGCGGUGAAAUGCGUAGAUAUCCGGAGGAACACCAGUGGCGAAGGCGGCUUCCUGGACCAACACUGACACUGAGGCGCGAAAGCGUGGGGAGCAAACAGGAUUAGAUACCCUGGUAGUCCACGCCCUAAACGAUGAGAACUAGCCGUUGGGGGAGCUUAAUCCCUUAGUGGCGCAGCUAACGCGAUAAGUUCUCCGCCUGGGGAGUACGGCCGCAAGGUUA